Molecule: ribosomal RNA, 175 nt
Filed under: Enterobacter asburiae
Lineage: Bacteria; Pseudomonadati; Pseudomonadota; Gammaproteobacteria; Enterobacterales; Enterobacteriaceae
Also listed under: 1 other name
Description: partial 16S ribosomal RNA
Rfam family: Bacterial small subunit ribosomal RNA
Source: RNAcentral
AAAUUGAAGAGUUUGAUCAUGGCUCAGAUUGAACGCUGGCGGCAGGCCUAACACAUGCAAGUCGAGCGGCAGCGGAAAGUAGCUUGCUACUUUGCCGGCGAGCGGCGGACGGGUGAGUAAUGUCUGGGAAACUGCCUGAUGGAGGGGGAUAACUACUGGAAACGGUAGCUAAUAC